UGCCACAGCCGUAUCACCCUGCAGCCAAAGUCUGGUUACCCACUGAAGCUAAGCAGGGCUGAGCCUGGUCAGUACCUGGAUGGGAGACCGCAUAGGAAAAGUAGGUUGCUGUUGGAA
Molecule: non-coding RNA, 117 nt
Organism: Danio rerio (zebrafish)
Lineage: Eukaryota; Metazoa; Chordata; Actinopteri; Cypriniformes; Danionidae
Source: Rfam